AUUGUUUGUCUUGUUUGUGUAGUAUAAAAUGAUAUGAGCUUAGCAAUGAAAUGUGGAAAGCUUGUAGAUAUGGAUAAGACGAUGGGAGGAUCUAUGUGGCAUCUAGAGAGAGCAUAUGCCACUCGAUUAGAGGUACUAGUCUAAUAUUUAAUUUCGUAUUCAAAUCCAAUGAGCUUUGUAGUCCAUUUCUGUUACUUAAGUGAGUGAAAACCUUGAGUCAUGAUAUGCUUUAGGCUUUGUUGGUCUGUAUAGAUUAUAAAUUUCUUGCCUAUGAGAUACUGACGCCAUUUUUCACUGAUUCUAUUACAGCGGACAUAGGCGGAGACAUGCUACAUCCGACCAUACUUUUUUUUUGUUGAAAAAAGCUAGUGGGUGGACCCCUUCAGACAAAACAGCGCCAAUGGCAACUGCUGAAGCAUCGAUUUCCACAUCGAAUGUCAUUGAAAAAUCAGGGAGAUGUAACA
RNAcentral lists this long non-coding RNA (464 nucleotides) under Lupinus angustifolius (narrow-leaved blue lupine). RNAcentral describes it as "long non-coding RNA (LANG_LNC000254)". Lineage: Eukaryota; Viridiplantae; Streptophyta; Magnoliopsida; Fabales; Fabaceae. The record is from RNAcentral.